Molecule: transfer RNA, 68 nt
Filed under: Cordylochernes scorpioides
Lineage: Eukaryota; Metazoa; Arthropoda; Arachnida; Pseudoscorpiones; Chernetidae
Description: tRNA-Ser
Source: RNAcentral
UGCAUCGGCCGGGAAUCAAACCCGGGGCGCCCGCGUAGCAGGCGAGAUUCUACCACUGAACCAAAAGC